RNAcentral lists this ribosomal RNA (492 nucleotides) under uncultured bacterium. Its description in RNAcentral is "partial 16S ribosomal RNA". It matches the Rfam family "Bacterial small subunit ribosomal RNA", at positions 29 to 507 of the family's 1533-position model. The record is from RNAcentral.
AGUGAACGCUGGCGGUAGGCCUAACACAUGCAAGUCGAACGGCAGCACAGUAAGAGCUUGCUCUUACGGGUGGCGAGUGGCGGACGGGUGAGGAAUACAUCGGAAUCUACUUUUUCGGGGGGGAUAACGUAGGGAAACUUACGCUAAUACCGCAUACGACCUACGGGUGAAAGCAGUGGAUCUUCGGACCUUGCGCGAUUGAAUGAGCCGAUGUCGGAUUAGAUAGUUGGCGGGGUAAAGGCCCACCAAGGCGACGAUCCGUAGCUGGUCUGGGAGGAUGAUCAGCCACACUGGAACUGAGACACGGUCCAGACUCCUACGGGAGGCAGCAGUGGGGAAUAUUGGACAAUGGGCGCAAGCCUGAUCCAGCCAUACCGCGUGGGUGAAGAAGGCCUUCGGGUUGUAAAGCCCUUUUGUUGGGAAAGAAAAGCAGCAGGUUAAUACCCCGCUGUUCUGACGGUACCCAAAGAAUAAGCACCGGCUAACUUCGUG